UGUGAAGGUGGCCUGUGAGGGUUGCUGGAGGUAUCAGAAGUGCGAAUGCUGACAUAAGUAACGAUAAAGCGGGUGAAAAGCCCGCUCGCCGGAAGACCAAGGGUUCCUGUCCAACGUUAAUCGGGGCAGGGUGAGUCGACCCCUAAGGCGAGGCCGAAAGGCGUAGUCGAUGGGAAACAGGUUAAUAUUCCUGUACUUGGUGUUACUGCGAAGGGGGGACGGAGAAGGCUAUGUUGGCCGGGCGACGGUUGUCCCGGUUUAAGCGUGUAGGCUGGUUUUCCAGGCAAAUCCGGAAAACCAAGGCUGAGGCGUGAUGACGAGGCACUACGGUGCUGAAGUGACAAAUGCCCUGCUUCCAGGAAAAGCCUCUAAGCAUCAGGUAACAUCAAAUCGUACCCCAAACCGACACAGGUGGUCAGGUAGAGAAUACCAAGGCGCUUGAGAGAACUCGGGUGAAGGAACUAGGCAAAAUGGUGCCGUAACUUCGGGAGAAGGCACGCUGAUAUGUAGGUGAAGCGACUUGCUCGUGGAGCUGAAAUCAGUCGAAGAUACCAGCUGGCUGCAACUGUUUAUUAAAAACACAGCACUGUGCAAACACGAAAGUGGACGUAUACGGUGUGACGCCUGCCCGGUGCCGGAAGGUUAAUUGAUGGGGUUAGCGGUAACGCGAAGCUCUUGAUCGAAGCCCCGGUAAACGGCGGCCGUAACUAUAACGGUCCUAAGGUAGCGAAAUUCCUUGUCGGGUAAGUUCCGACCUGCACGAAUGGCGUAAUGAUGGCCAGGCUGUCUCCACCCGAGACUCAGUGAAAUUGAACUCGCUGUGAAGAUGCAGUGUACCCGCGGCAAGACGGAAAGACCCCGUGAACCUUUACUAUAGCUUGACACUGAACAUUGAGCCUUGAUGUGUAGGAUAGGUGGGAGGCUUUGAAGUGUGGACGCCAGUCUGCAUGGAGCCGACCUUGAAAUACCACCCUUUAAUGUUUGAUGUUCUAACGUUGGCCCCUAAUCGGGGUUGCGGACAGUGUCUGGUGGGUAGUUUGACUGGGGCGGUCUCCUCCUAAAGAGUAACGGAGGAGCACGAAGGUUGGCUAAUCCUGGUCGGACAUCAGGAGGUUAGUGCAAUGGCAUAAGCCAGCUUGACUGCGAGCGUGACGGCGCGAGCAGGUGCGAAAGCAGGUCAUAGUGAUCCGGUGGUUCUGAAUGGAAGGGCCAUCGCUCAACGGAUAAAAGGUACUCCGGGGAUAACAGGCUGAUACCGCCCAAGAGUUCAUAUCGACGGCGGUGUUUGGCACCUCGAUGUCGGCUCAUCACAUCCUGGGGCUGAAGUAGGUCCCAAGGGUAUGGCUGUUCGCCAUUUAAAGUGGUACGCGAGCUGGGUUUAGAACGUCGUGAGACAGUUCGGUCCCUAUCUGCCGUGGGCGCUGGAGAACUGAGGGGGGCUGCUCCUAGUACGAGAGGACCGGAGUGGACGCAUCACUGGUGUUCGGGUUGUCAUGCCAAUGGCACUGCCCGGUAGCUAAAUGCGGAAGAGAUAAGUGCUGAAAGCAUCUAAGCACGAAACUUGCCCCGAGAUGAGUUCUCCCUGAGACUUAGAGUCUCCUGAAGGAACGUUGAAGACGACGACGUUGAUAGGCCGGGUGUGUAAGCGCAGCGAUGCGUUGAGCUAACCGGUACUAAUGAACCGUGAGGCUUAACCUU
This 1698-nucleotide ribosomal RNA is filed under the name Escherichia coli. Its description in RNAcentral is "partial 23S ribosomal RNA". It matches the Rfam family "Bacterial large subunit ribosomal RNA", at positions 1249 to 2925 of the family's 2925-position model. Lineage: Bacteria; Pseudomonadati; Pseudomonadota; Gammaproteobacteria; Enterobacterales; Enterobacteriaceae. The record is from RNAcentral.